CAAUGAAAUGUAUACUGAGGGACUAACUCCAGGCUAAUUCUGUUUGUUUCAGAUUGAGAAAUGCCCCAUGCAGACUCGUGGUCAGACAACCCUCUUUGGAGGGUCCACAGGCUGUAAUUGUGGUUUUCAUGCUGUUCAGCCGGCCCCUCAUGUUCACCAGCAGCAGUCUGUGGCCUCAGGCUCUACCCUGAGUGUGACUGCUGCCCCUGACUCAGAACCUGGUGCUACAGCCCCGCAGUCUUUCCUGCGUCCCCCUCCUAGUUUGGCAAUGUUCACUAAAUCACGUUUUGGUGGGUCGGUCUCACC
Molecule: long non-coding RNA, 306 nt
Organism: Centropristis striata (black sea bass)
Lineage: Eukaryota; Metazoa; Chordata; Actinopteri; Perciformes; Serranidae
Exons: 3
Source: RefSeq, a predicted model, not a curated record